AACUUUCAACAACGGAUCUCUUGGCUCUGGCAUCGAUGAAGAACGCAGCGAAAUGCGAUACGUAAUGCGAAUUGCAGAAUUCAGCGAGUCAUCGAAUCUUUGAACGCACAUUGCGCCCGCCAGCAUUCUGGCGGGCAUGCCUGUCCGAGCGUCA
Molecule: ribosomal RNA, 154 nt
Filed under: Ophiostoma ips
Lineage: Eukaryota; Fungi; Ascomycota; Sordariomycetes; Ophiostomatales; Ophiostomataceae
Also listed under: 4 other names
Description: 5.8S ribosomal RNA
Rfam family: 5.8S ribosomal RNA
About the family: 5.8S ribosomal RNA (5.8S rRNA) is a component of the large subunit of the eukaryotic ribosome.
Source: RNAcentral